This 73-nucleotide transfer RNA is filed under the name Pseudomonadota bacterium. Its description in RNAcentral is "Proteobacteria bacterium tRNA-Phe". It matches the Rfam family "tRNA". From Rfam's summary of the family: Transfer RNA (tRNA) molecules are approximately 80 nucleotides in length. Their secondary structure includes four short double-helical elements and three loops (D, anti-codon, and T loops). The record is from RNAcentral. Lineage: Bacteria; Pseudomonadati; Pseudomonadota. RNAcentral also lists the same sequence under 1 other name.
GCCCAGGUAGCUCAGUCGGUAGAGCAGGGGACUGAAAAUCCCCGUGUCGGCGGUUCAAUUCCGUUCCUGGGCA